Molecule: non-coding RNA, 137 nt
Filed under: Amorphochlora amoebiformis
Lineage: Eukaryota; Cercozoa; Chlorarachniophyceae
Source: RNAcentral
ACACUUCAAAGGCUCUCCUGACAAAGGUUUACCGACUCGGAACUCCCCUCCUCUCCCCUUUAGUAUUUGGUACAUCUCGAUCUCUCUCUUACUCUCUCAAUUUUUCUGAAAUCGCUUGCUUUUCAUCUAUCCCGGCG